RNAcentral lists this ribosomal RNA (420 nucleotides) under uncultured bacterium. RNAcentral describes it as "bacterial SSU rRNA". It matches the Rfam family "Bacterial small subunit ribosomal RNA", at positions 361 to 772 of the family's 1533-position model. The record is from RNAcentral.
AUAUUGGGCAAUGGAAGAGAUUCUGACCCAGCCAUGCCGCGUGCAGGAAGAAGGCCUUCUGGGUUGUAAAGCACUUUUGUUGGGGAAGAAAAGCCAUGGGCUAAUACCCUGUGGUUCUGACGGUACCCAAAGAAUAAGCACCGGCUAACUUCGUGCCAGCAGCCGCGGUAAUACGAAGGGUGCAAGCGUUACUCGGAAUUACUGGGCGUAAAGCGUGCGUAGGUGGUUUGUUAAGUCUGAUGUGAAAGCCCUGGGCUCAACCUGGGAAUGGCAUUGGAAACUGGCUGACUGGAGUGCGGUAGAGGGUAGUGGAAUUCCCGGUGUAGCAGUGAAAUGCGUAGAUAUCGGGAGGAACAUCCGUGGCGAAGGCGACUACCUGGACCAGCACUGACACUGAGGCACGAAAGCGUGGGGAGCAAA